UACAGAGGUGGCAAGCGUUGUUCGGAAUUACUGGGCGUAAAGCGCACGUAGGCGGCUUUGUAAGUAAGAGGUGAAAGCCCAGAGCUCAACUCUGGAAUUGCCUUUUAGACUGCAUCGCUUGAAUCAUGGAGAGGUCAGUGGAAUUCCGAGUGUAGAGGUGAAAUUCGUAGAUAUUCGCAAGAACACCAGUGGCGAAGGCGGCUCACUGGCCCGAUACUGACGCUGAGGCACGAAAGCGUGGGGAGCAAACAGG
Molecule: ribosomal RNA, 253 nt
Filed under: uncultured bacterium
Lineage: Bacteria
Description: partial 16S ribosomal RNA
Rfam family: Bacterial small subunit ribosomal RNA
Source: RNAcentral